Non-coding RNA from Macaca mulatta (Rhesus monkey), 4572 nucleotides. The record is from RefSeq and is a predicted model, not a curated record. NCBI's taxonomy places the organism in Eukaryota, Metazoa, Chordata, Mammalia, Primates, Cercopithecidae.
GGAUUCUGGGAGAUGGAGGAGGAGACUCCAGCACUUCCUCCUUGGCACCAGCAGUGGAACGCGGGGCCGCUCCCAGCCUCACUUGAGCAGCCCCCGCCCUCCCAGAGGCCUCAGUCCCAGUCACGUGAUGGUCGACUCAGCUGACCCGGCCCAACCAGAAAAAGAAAUUCCUGGGCCCUGGCUUCCUGGUGCGAUAAUGAGGCACCAGGGGUGAAGUGAGGCAUGGGCUGCUGGAGCGGGAAUGAGGGGGCGCCAGUGGCUCCGGAAACGGUGGGGGAGGUUGUAUGCACUGGCCUCUCCGCAAACAGUGUGUGCGCGCGUGAGGGCUGCCUGUCUGGCAGAGAAAAGCCCACCGCUAUCCUGCUCCCGAGUGUGGCGCUUAGACAGAGCAGGCAGGCCUGACUUAGAGUCCCCGUGCUUCCCUGGUGGAAGGAAGGGCUCCUGCCUCCCCGGGCAGGAAAUGGGGCUUGUCUGGAGCUGAGAGUCCUUUCAGGUCCUUCCCAGCCCCAGGAGGGCCCCCCAAGGACACCCCGUUCCCCAGCCCUGCUGUGGGACUUGUACAACAACGUGCUUAGACUCAGGCUCCCUCUUCCACACUGUUAGGAAGCCCCUCCGCUCUUUCCAGACCCAGAAAGUAGUAGUUUUGGAGCUGAGCCUUAUCCAUCCAUCCUUACGUUCUAAGUGCCUAGUCUAUACCAUAAAGUGUGCUAGGCACUGGGAGGACUUGAGUUGCCCCAGGAAGGGGAAAUUGGAGGCUUGAAUUGGCAGUCAUAGUUAAGGCUCCGGGGCAGAGACCUAACUGCGCCUUGUGUGUAGUGCUAAGGGGGUUUCCUGAGGAUGCCAUCAACCUUAAAGGUGGAUGGCAGGAGCUGGCUGGCUGAAGUACAGUUUGUGUACCAGGGGUUGGGAGGAAAGGGUGGGAGGUGUGCAUCUUCAGACAGGGAACAGCAUGUGUAGAGACUUCAGGUGAGAGAGAGCAUGGCUCCCCAGGAAGGAAUGCAUUUCCCAUAGCUGGGAGAGUAUCAUCUGGAGGUUAGAGAAAGAUGAGGCUGGACAAGUAAAGACCAAAUCUUCCUGGCUCUUGGAUCACCACAAUCAAGAUAAUGAACAUUCCACCGGACCCCAAAAUUUCCUUAUGUGAGGGGCUAUCUUAGGAAGUAUGAUCAAGAAGGGCUGGCCUGCCAGGGUGUAGUGACUCACGCCUGUAAUCCCAGCACUUUGAGAGUGUGCAGAUGACCUGAGGUCAGGAGUUUGAGAUCAGCAUGGCCAACGUGGUGAAACCUUGUCUUUACUAAAAAUACAAAAAAGCUGGGUGUGGUGAUGUAUGCCUGUAGUCCCAGCUACUUGGGAGACUGAGGCAGGAGAACUGCUUGGACUCGGGAGGUGGAGGUUUCAGUGAGCCAAGAUUGCGCCAUUGCACUCCAGCAUGGGCAGCAGAGGGAGACUCCGUCUUUAAAAAAAAAAAAAAAGAAGAAGAAGAAGUGCUAGUCUGAUGAGGUGUCACUUUAGCAGAGAGUGGAAUGAAAUAAAGGAUGGCAAGCCACACAGAGAGUGCAGCAGGCAUGGCGGCGGGAGCAAGGCUGGUGUCCCUGAGCAGCAGCAGGGAAGCUGGAGUGGCUGGACUUGUGUCAGUAUGGGGAAGAAGGGAGAGAGGUCACUCGUCUCUGUGAAGCCCAGGACUUUGUUUUAUCCCCUACUGUACCCCCAGCACAUAGAGUGGGAACUAGCACAGAGAAGGCACUCAAUUGAUGUUUGCUGAGCAGACGAAUGCCUGGAGUAGACCUCAGAGCAGGGUUUGGUGGCAGGGUGGGUCAGGGAGAGAGUUCACUCAACAGCCUGGUGAUAGGGGAGAACAAGAGGCCAGAGGGUAUCCAUCUAUGAUGGGGACCAGGGGUCCCUGCUGGGCAGCAGUGUAGGAGACACACGGAUCCUGGCCACACCUCAGCCUUCCCUCCAGCCUGAGUACCUACCUCCCUCCCUUGCAGAGGUUCCGGUUCUGUGGUGAUCUGGACUGUCCCGACUGGGUCCUGGCAGAGAUCAGCAGCUGGCUAAGAUGGUUGAGUGCACAGGGUCUGCUCUGGUGGAGGAGGGGCGUUGGGUCUGGGGAUUGUGGGUAUAGAUGAUGGUGAGGUUUCUCUGGGGUUAGGGCCUCAGUGCUCUCAGCCUGUGCUACCAUGCUUUGUGACCUUAAUCAGUGGCUGGCCUGCUCUGAGCCAGUCCCCAGGAAGGAGGGGUGAGGUUUGCCAGCCUGGCUGAUGUAAGGACUUCCCUUCCAGUCCUCUGUGAAGUUGCAGCUGCUCUGCAGCCAGGUACUAAAGAGCUGCUGGGACGGGGGAUUGAUGAUCCAGGCUAGAGUUGAGGGGUUGGUGAGCAGGGGUCUGGCACCCCUUGAAGGUCUCCUUUCCUCAUAGAGUGAGAAGAUCCUGAAGCUGACGGCUAAUGCCAAGUUUGGUCCCUCGGAGUCAGGCAAUAUGAAGGCCACAGUGGCAGUGCUGAGUUUCAUCCUCUCCAGUGCGGCCAAGCACAGUGUUGAUGGUGGAUGCUUGUCCAGUGAACUGCAGCAGCUGGGGCUGCCCAAAGGUAUGGGUUGUGGGUGGGCAGCUGGGCAGUCUGUGGGCCAAGGGCUGCUAGAGAGGGGGCCAGGCCCUGUGACCCUAUGGUGUACCCUGCCCUGUCUGGGCCAGGAACCCAAGCCCAGCUCCCACCUGAUACCUCCAGAGCUACUCCAUUCUACCCCCAGAGCAUGUGGCCAGAUUGUGCCACCCUUAUGAGGAGAAGCAAAGCCUCUUGCAGAAGCACUUGGGGUCUACAACCUACGCAGUAAGUAUGAGCCCAGCCAGUGUCCGCGCUCAUUCUAGAAGGUGCACGCAGCAUGCAAAGUGCAUGGAGAGUCCAGGGAGAUGACAACCACAGUCACAUGCCCAGCAGCCGCAGAGCUGGGAUCUGGCCCUGGGUCUCCUGACUCCACGGGCUGUGCGAUGUGUACAUACAGGAUCAGACCUCGCCCUUUUCUCCUAGCUGACCCUUUCCUAGUCCCCCAUGCCCCAUGGGUGAGCACCUAGCUCACUCUCUUUCCUCCCUCUCCAAAGUGUGGUCUCUUGCAGCACAAGUGGCAGAAGGGGCAGCAGAGACUAUGGACCCCUCAGCUGCAUCUAAGACCUCUGUGUGGUCUAGCUGUGUGUGCUGGAGGGGGGCUCUUGGCCACCAGUUCCCCCUCUGUAAAUGAGACCCAUACCUGUGGCAUGGAGGACAGGAGGCUGGUGUGCGUGCCAAGCACUUGGAGCAGGGCCCUGAGUGAGCAUGGACGUGGGAGCAGGGGUGUUCCUCGACUUUAUGUACCUUAGGGAUGGGAGUGGGCUACCUGUGUGGGUUGACAAGGCAUUGCUUUCCCCUACCCCACCUCUGUCCCAGCCCUGCAAGUCAGUCCUUGGGGGUCUAGGAGGGAAGAAGUGCCUGGCUGUGUGACCUCGGGCUGGUACCUGGCCCUCUCUGGCUCUGAAUUCCUGGGAAAGUCAGCACCCAAGGAACGCCCUCCAGUUUAGCACCUUGACAAGAAGGGUGGGGACACUGGGUUCAGGCCCACCCCUCUGGUCCAAACCCCUCGGCCCCAGCUGGAGGAUGAGGAGAUGCUGGGCUUGGGUGGGGGAAUCUCCUCAGCUUGGCUAAAAGGCUCAAGGUGUCAAAGGCUCAGCCUGCCCCCCAGGAAGGAGCCUGGGCCCAGCCAGUCACCAGGACAAGGGCAACUAUGGCGAGCAGGAGGCCCAGGAUGAGGAGAACCAUGGCAUAGCUGGAGAUGAAGGUGUCCAGCGGGCUGGAGGCUUUGGGGCCAGGAGUGCUUAGAGCAGAACAAGAAGGCUAUGACCAGGCGCGGCCCCACCUCCCAGACUUCUGAGAAGGCAGAAUCUGCACUCAGAAGGUGCUGCGGGACCAGAGAGUGGGGCUAGGAGCAUCUUGGAGGGCUCCAUGAGCAGGGGAGGCAGGCUUCAGAUCAGGGCAUGUGGAGGAGGCAGAUGGACAGAGGGAGGAGGCCUGCAGAGGGAAGGAGGUACUGACCGAGGUCUGGGAUGACCGUGUCUACCAAGAGGCCCUCUGCCUCCCCCAGGGUGUGCAGACACUGGCGCGCACAGUCCUACCUGAGGGCCCGGGCUGGUGCCAGCCUGAAGGUGGCACCCAUUCUAGCGGUCAGUGGAUCUGGACUGGUGGGAGAAUCAUCACACACUUCAGGGGCCUGCGCAACCUUGCAGGACUAGGGGAGGUCAUCUCUUCCAGCCUCCUGCCCUCAACCCCAGAACCCUGGUCUGAGCCCUGGGUCACCCAGGGCCACCCCAGACCCCCUAGAAUUCCUCUACCACCACUUGGUCAAAGUUCUGCAGAGGUCUGAGGAUGAGGGUCAGCUGGGGGGUCAGGAGAGGAUGAAGAGGGUCACAGCUCUACCAAACCAAGCCUUAUUUCUUGUGGCCCCUGGCCUACUCCUCUGAUGCCAACCUCCGGCUGGCCCAGCCCUGCAGAGUAGGUGCUCAAAGGCAUCAGUAGCAGUUUGUCUCAUGCUGGUCUCCCCCCAGGUCCCCCUCU